This 1370-nucleotide long non-coding RNA is filed under the name Chloebia gouldiae (Gouldian finch). RNAcentral's name for it is "Erythrura gouldiae (Gouldian finch) lncRNA (ENSEGOG00005018786.1)". Lineage: Eukaryota; Metazoa; Chordata; Aves; Passeriformes; Passeridae. The record is from RNAcentral.
CACCACCCCGUUUUGAGCACCCCAACUCUGUCCCCUCAAGAUUUCACCUCUUGUCUCACCACCUCAUUUUGAGCACCCCCAAUUCUUUCCCCUCCACCACCCCAAGUUUUCACCUCCUGCCUCAUCAUCCCGUUUUGAGCACCGCCAACUCUGUCCCCUCUGCACCCCAAGAUUUCACCUCUUGUCUCAUUAGCCCGUUUUGAGCACCCCCAACUCUGUCCCCUCAAGAUUUCACCUCUUGUCUCACCACCCCGUUUUGAGCACCCCAACUCUGUCCCCUCUCCCCGCAGGUUGGCCCUGGGGGACAGCGGGGAGCUGAGCGUCGAUGGCCUCUGCACCCUGGGGGAGGCCGAGGGGCAGCUGCUGGAAGGGGCUGGCCCCGAGCCGGGGCUCAGGAACGCGGGGAGCAGCCUCUGCCUGGCCAAGUACCUGCUGGGGGUCCUGGGGGACCCCUUCUGCGCCGCCGUCCGCAGGGACAGGGAGACGUGGCCGGGAGCCCCCGGCGGGCCCGGGGGUAAGCGGGGACCAGGGUGGGGGUGACACUGGGGACACUGGGGACACUGGGGACACUGGGGACACUGGGGACACGGGGGACACUGGGGACACUGGGGACACUGGGGACACGGGGGACACUGGGGACACUGGGGACACGGGGGACACGGGGGACACUGGGGACACGGGGGACACUGGGGACACUGGGGACACUGGGGACACUGGGGACACGGGGAGGCUGAGGAUGUGUUUCCCGCAGGAGUGACGGGCUGGAGGCGGGGGGAAGGAGCCCCCCAGCUCUGUGACGCUUGCCAGCGUGGCUUCUUCAACUCCCACUGGAGCUGCGCCAGAUGUGGCUUCCAGCUGUGCCCCGACUGCCACCGCAGCAGGCGGGAGGAGAGUGGCCCUGGUAUGGGGACAGGGAGGGGUGGAAAAGGGGGUGUCAGCCCCGGGGGGCUCAGUGGGGACGAGCGCAGCCUCUCUGUGACACAGAGGGUCCAGCGCUGCCACCGGAGUGCACCCCCGGGCGGGACCACCGCGUGUCAACCCUGGUCCCCACGCAGUUCGUCCCCACCUGUGUCCUGACCCGGCUCUGGAAGCUCCUGCACGAGGUCAGGGUCAAGUUUGGCAUCGAGUCCCACUGUCCCUGCGGGGAGGGGGCUGCGGAGCAGAGCCUGGCGGAGCCCCCGGGCAGGCAGGAGCCGCCGGGGGCCGCGGCGCCCACCCUGCCCCUCCGCAGCCACGGCCCCGCCGACCCCGCCCGGCCCAUCAAGGAAGGUAGGGCCGGCUGCGACCCCCCCGCCGCGGGCACGGCCCCGCUCCGGGGGGGUCAGGGAUGCCGCACCCCGUCCCCUUUUGGGGUGCCGGGUAGGGGGUGA